RNAcentral lists this ribosomal RNA (471 nucleotides) under Heterosigma akashiwo. RNAcentral describes it as "partial Bacterial small subunit ribosomal RNA". It matches the Rfam family "Bacterial small subunit ribosomal RNA", at positions 327 to 790 of the family's 1533-position model. The record is from RNAcentral. Lineage: Eukaryota; Raphidophyceae; Chattonellales; Chattonellaceae.
CGGCCCAGACUCCUACGGGAGGCAGCAGUGGGGAAUUUUGGACAAUGGGCGCAAGCCUGAUCCAGCAAUGCCGCGUGAGUGAAGAAGGCCUUCGGGUUGUAAAGCUCUUUUGUCAGGGAAGAAACGGCUGAGGUUAAUACCUUCGGCUAAUGACGGUACCUGAAGAAUAAGCACCGGCUAACUACGUGCCAGCAGCCGCGGUAAUACGUAGGGUGCAAGCGUUAAUCGGAAUUACUGGGCGUAAAGCGUGCGCAGGCGGUUUUGUAAGUCUGAGGUGAAAUCCCCGGGCUCAACCUGGGAAUUGCGUUGGAGACUGCAAGGCUAGAAUCUGGCAGAGGGGGGUAGAAUUCCACGUGUAGCAGUGAAAUGCGUAGAGAUGUGGAGGAACACCGAUGGCGAAGGCAGCCCCCUGGGUCAAGAUUGACGCUCAUGCACGAAAGCGUGGGGAGCAAACAGGAUUAGAUACCCUGG